UUCCAGUCCAAUAGCGUAUAUUAAAGUUGUUGCAGUUAAAAAGCUCGUAGUUGAAUUUCGGGGUUAGUAGGCUGGUCAUGCCUCCGGUAUGUACUGGUCUCACUGAUUCCUCCUUCCUGAUGAACCGUAAUGCCAUUAAUUUGGUGUUGCGGGGAAUCAGGACUGUUACUUUGAAAAAAUUAGAGUGUUUAAAGCAGGCUAACGCUUGAAUACAUUAGCAUGGAAUAAUGAAAUAGGACGUUCGAUCCUAUUUUGUUGGUUUCUAGGAUUGACGUAAUGAUUAAUAGGGAUAGUUGGGGGCAUUAGUAUUCAAUUGUCAGAGGUGAAAUUCUUGGAUUUAUUGAAGACUAACUACUGCGAAAGCAUUUGCCAAGGAUGUUUUCAUUAAUCAAGAACGAAAGUUAGGGGAUCGAAGACGAUCAGAUACCGUCGUAGUCUUAACCAUAAACUAUGCCGACUAGGGAUCGG
This 468-nucleotide ribosomal RNA is filed under the name uncultured Glomus. RNAcentral describes it as "SSU rRNA". It matches the Rfam family "Eukaryotic small subunit ribosomal RNA", at positions 583 to 1056 of the family's 1831-position model. Lineage: Eukaryota; Fungi; Glomeromycota; Glomeromycetes; Glomerales; Glomeraceae. The record is from RNAcentral.